UAGGGAAUCUUCCACAAUGGGCGAAAGCCUGAUGGAGCAACGCCGCGUGUGUGAUGAAGGCUUUAGGGUCGUAAAGCACUGUUGUAUGGGAAGAAAUGCUAGAAUAGGGAAUGAUUCUAGUUCGACGGUACCAUACCAGAAAGGGACGGCUAAAUACGUGCCAGCAGCCGCGGUAAUACGUAUGUCCCGAGCGUUAUCCGGAUUUAUUGGGCGUAAAGCGAGCGCAGACGGUUGAUUAAGUCUGAUGUGAAAGCCCGGAGCUCAACUCCGGAAUGGCAUUGGAAACUGGUUAACUUGAGUGUUGUAGAGGUAAGUGGAACUCCAUGUGUAGCGGUGGAAUGCGUAGAUAUAUGGAAGAACACCAGUGGCGAAGGCGGCUUACUGGACAACAACUGACGUUGAGGCUCGAAAGUGUGGGUAGCAAACAGGAUUAGAUACCCUGGUAGUCCACACCGUNNNGAUGAAUACUAGGUGUUAGGAGGNUUCCGCCUCUUAGUGCCNAAGCUAACGUAUUAANUAUUCCGCCUGGGGAGUACNACCGCAAGGNUG
Molecule: ribosomal RNA, 549 nt
Filed under: uncultured bacterium
Lineage: Bacteria
Description: bacterial SSU rRNA
Rfam family: Bacterial small subunit ribosomal RNA
Source: RNAcentral